Molecule: ribosomal RNA, 484 nt
Filed under: uncultured bacterium
Lineage: Bacteria
Description: partial 16S ribosomal RNA
Rfam family: Bacterial small subunit ribosomal RNA
Source: RNAcentral
AUUGAACGCUGGCGGCAGGCCUAACACAUGCAAGUCGAGCGGAUGAAGGGAGCUUGCUCCUGGAUUCAGCGGCGGACGGGUGAGUAAUGCCUAGGAAUCUGCCUGGUAGUGGGGGAUAACGUCCGGAAACGGGCGCUAAUACCGCAUACGUCCUGAGGGAGAAAGAGGGGGAUCUUCGGACAUCACGCUAUCAGAUGAGCCUAGGUCGGAUUAGCUAGUUGGUGGGGUAAAGGCCUACCAAGGCGACGAUCCGUAACUGGUCUGAGAGGAUGAUCAGUCACACUGGAACUGAGACACGGUCCAGACUCCUACGGGAGGCAGCAGUGGGGAAUAUUGGACAAAGGGCGAAAGCCUGAUCCAGCCAUGCCGCGUGUGUGAAGAAGGUCUUCGGAUUGUAAAGCACUUUGAGUUGGGAGGAAGGGCAGUAAGUUAAUACCUUGCUGUUUUGACGUUACCAACAGAAUAAGCACCGGCUAACUUCGUG